GUGGCAGUACCUCAGUGAUAGGGCUCCCGCUUCGCACGCGGAAAGACCUGGGUUCGAUUCCCGGCUGCUUUC
Transfer RNA from Toxocara canis (dog roundworm), 72 nucleotides. It matches the Rfam family "tRNA". From Rfam's summary of the family: Transfer RNA (tRNA) molecules are approximately 80 nucleotides in length. The record is from Rfam. NCBI's taxonomy places the organism in Eukaryota, Metazoa, Nematoda, Chromadorea, Rhabditida, Toxocaridae.